Molecule: ribosomal RNA, 632 nt
Filed under: arctic soil bacterium S1T3
Lineage: Bacteria
Description: bacterial SSU rRNA
Rfam family: Bacterial small subunit ribosomal RNA
Source: RNAcentral
UGGCUCAGGAUGAACGCUAGCGGCAGGCCUAAUACAUGCAAGUCGAACGAUACUCUUUAGCUUGCUAGAGAGGAAAGUGGCGCACGGGUGCGUAACGCGUAUGCAACCUACCUUAAUCAGGGGGAUAGCCCGAAGAAAUUCGGAUUAACACCGCAUAAAAUCACAGUAUAGCAUUAUACAAUGAUCAAAUAUUUAUAGGAUUAAGAUGGGCAUGCGUGACAUUAGUUAGUUGGCGGGGUAACGGCCCACCAAGACCACGAUGUCUAGGGGAUCUGAGAGGAUGACCCCCCACACUGGUACUGAGACACGGACCAGACUCCUACGGGAGGCAGCAGUAAGGAAUAUUGGUCAAUGGAGGCAACUCUGAACCAGCCAUGCCGCGUGCAGGAAGACAGCCCUCUGGGUCGUAAACUGCUUUUAUUCGGGAAUAAACCUGCUUACGAGUAAGUAGCUGAAUGUACCGAAGGAAUAAGGAUCGGCUAACUCCGUGCCAGCAGCCGCGGUAAUACGGAGGAUCCAAGCGUUAUCCGGAUUUAUUGGGUUUAAAGGGUGCGUAGGCGGCUUUUUAAGUCAGGGGUGAAAGACGGUGGCUCAACCAUCGCAGUGCCCUUGAUACUGAAGAGCUUGAAUGA